Molecule: non-coding RNA, 30 nt
Filed under: Rattus norvegicus (Norway rat)
Lineage: Eukaryota; Metazoa; Chordata; Mammalia; Rodentia; Muridae
Source: RNAcentral
UUCUUCCUUGACUUAUCAAGCUGCCUUCUC